GAUGAACGCUAGCUACAGGCUUAACACAUGCAAGUCGCGGGGCAGCAUGGGGGUUGCUUGCAAUCCCCGAUGGCGACCGGCGCACGGGUGAGUAACGCGUAUUCAACCUGCCCUUCACCACGGGAUAACCCGGCGAAAGUCGGACUAAUACCGUAUGUUGUCCAUUGACGGCAUCCGAUUUGGACGAAAGGCUUGGCGGUGAGGGAUGGGGAUGCGUCCGAUUAGCCAGACGGCGGGGUAACGGCCCACCGUGGCUACGAUCGGUAGGGGUUCUGAGAGGAAGGUCCCCCACACUGGAACUGAGACACGGUCCAGACUCCUACGGGAGGCAGCAGUGAGGAAUAUUGGCCAAUGGGCGUAAGCCUGAACCAGCCAAGUAGCGUGCAGGAUGACGGCCCUAUGGGUUGUAAACUGCUUUUAUGCGGGGAUAAAGUGGCCCACGUGUGGGCUUUUGCAGGUACCGCAUGAAUAAGGACCGGCUAAUUCCGUG
This 490-nucleotide ribosomal RNA is filed under the name uncultured bacterium. RNAcentral's name for it is "partial 16S ribosomal RNA". It matches the Rfam family "Bacterial small subunit ribosomal RNA", at positions 28 to 507 of the family's 1533-position model. The record is from RNAcentral.